Molecule: ribosomal RNA, 253 nt
Filed under: uncultured bacterium
Lineage: Bacteria
Description: partial 16S ribosomal RNA
Rfam family: Bacterial small subunit ribosomal RNA
Source: RNAcentral
UACGUAGGGUGCGAGCGUUAAUCGGAAUUACUGGGCGUAAAGCGUGCGCAGGCGGUUUUGUAAGCCAGAUGUGAAAUCCCCGGGCUUAACCUGGGAAUGGCAUUUGGGACUGCAAGGCUUGAGUGCGGCAGAGGAGACUGGAAUUCCUGAUGUAGCAGUGAAAUGCGUAGAGAUCGGGAGGAACACCAGAGGCGAAAGCGGCGACCUGGACAAGUACUGACACUCAACUACGAAAGCGUGGGGAGCAAACAGG